AUUGAACGCUGGCGGCAUGCCUUACACACGCAAGUCGAACGGCAGCGGACCUUCGGGUGCCGGCGAGUGGCGAACGGGUGAGUAAUAUAUCGGAACGUACCUUUCAGUGGGGGAUAACGUAGCGAAAGUUACGCUAAUACCGCAUAUUCUGUGAGCAGGAAAGCAGGGGAUCGCAAGACCUUGCGCUGAUUGAGCGGCCGAUAUCAGAUUAGCUAGUUGGUGAGGUAAAGGCUCACCAAGGCGACGAUCUGUAGCGGGUCUGAGAGGAUGAUCCGCCACACUGGAACUGAGACACGGUCCAGACUCCUACGGGAGGCAGCAGUGGGGAAUUUUGGUCAAUGGACGAAAGUCUGAACCAGCCAUGCCGCGUGAAGGAUGAAGGCCCUCUGGGUUGUAAACUUCUUUUAUCUGGGACGAAAAAGGGAAUUCCUUCCCACUUGACGGUACCAGAGGAAUAAGCACCGGCUAACUCCGUGCCAGCAGCCGCGGUAAAGUGU
Molecule: ribosomal RNA, 497 nt
Filed under: uncultured bacterium
Lineage: Bacteria
Description: bacterial SSU rRNA
Rfam family: Bacterial small subunit ribosomal RNA
Source: RNAcentral